This 685-nucleotide ribosomal RNA is filed under the name uncultured bacterium. RNAcentral's name for it is "bacterial SSU rRNA". It matches the Rfam family "Bacterial small subunit ribosomal RNA", at positions 94 to 792 of the family's 1533-position model. The record is from RNAcentral.
AGCGGCGGACGGGUGAGUAACGUGUGGGCAACCUGCCUUUUACUGGGGAAUAAUCACUGGAAACGGUGACUAAUACCGCAUAAUAUUCUUGGAAGGCAUCUUCCGAGAAGGAAAGGAAAUAUUCGGUAAAAGAUGGGCCCGCAUCUGAUUAGCUAGUUGGUGAGAUAACAGCCCACCAAGGCGACGAUCAGUAGCCGACCUGAGAGGGUGACCGGCCACAUUGGGACUGAGACACGGCCCAAACUCCUACGGGAGGCAGCAGUGGGGAAUAUUGCACAAUGGGGGGAACCCUGAUGCAGCAACGCCGCGUGAAGGAAGACGGUUUUCGGAUUGUAAACUUCUAUCAAUAGGGAAGAAAGAAAUGACGGUACCUAAAUAAGAAGCCCCGGCUAACUACGUGCCAGCAGCCGCGGUAAUACGUAGGGGGCAAGCGUUAUCCGGAAUUACUGGGUGUAAAGGGAGAGUAGGCGGCAAGGUAAGCGAUAUGUGAAAGCCUUAGGCUUAACCUGAGGAUUGCAUAACGAACUAUCUAGCUAGAGUACAGGAGAGGAAAGCGGAAUUCCUAGUGUAGCGGUGAAAUGCGUAGAUAUUAGGAAGAACACCAGUGGCGAAGGCGGCUUUCUGGACUGAAACUGACGCUNANGCUCGAAAGCGUGGGGAGCGAACAGGAUUAGAUACCCUGGUA